Molecule: ribosomal RNA, 484 nt
Filed under: uncultured bacterium
Lineage: Bacteria
Description: partial 16S ribosomal RNA
Rfam family: Bacterial small subunit ribosomal RNA
Source: RNAcentral
AUUGAACGCUGGCGGCAUGCCUUACACAUGCAAGUCGAACGGCAGCGCGGGAUCAAUCCUGGCGGCGAGUGGCGAACGGGUGAGUAAUACAUCGGAACGUGCCCAAUCGUGGGGGAUAACGCAGCGAAAGCUGUGCUAAUCCCGCAUCCGAUCUACGGAUGAACGCCGGGGAUCGCAAGACCUUGCGCGAAUGGAGCGGCCGAUGUCAGAUUAGGUAGUUGGUGAGGUAAAGGCUCACCAAGCCUUCGAUCUGUAGCUGGUCUGAGAGGACGACCAGCCACACUGGGACUGAGACACGGCCCAGACUCCUACGGGAGGCAGCAGUGGGGAAUUUUGGACAAUGGGCGAAAGCCUGAUCCAGCCAUGCCGCGUGCAGGAUGAAGGCCUUCGGGUUGUAAACUGCUUUUGUACGGAACGAAACGGUCUUUUCUAAUAAAGAAGGCUAAUGACGGUACCGUAAGAAUAAGCACCGGCUAACUACGUG